CAAUUUGAACAUACAAACUUUUAGGGAUAUAGAAUAAUAUACUACAUUAAAAUGAGAUAUGAAUUCCGAAGUAUUACUUUUCUCUCUGGUCUCACAAUCAGAUCAGUAUGACAGGGCAUCGGUGACUCUGCGUCACUUGGGGGCCAGUCAGGGCUGAGAGUCCUCUGUGGUCAGGGGCUCUGUCCAGACUGAAAGCUAUGGUCAGUCUGCGGUGGCUCUUUCCUGAGAAAGAAUUCUGGGGAGAAAAACCCAUGCCUUAUUUUUAGCCAGACAGUACCCAGUAUCUGAAGCCGGCUCACACAGGCGCCUCAGAGCCGACUGUCCCAUUGCUAGGGAUUCUGUGAGCUCGUUAUUAAACACAGCCAUUGCCAGUGGCUCUCUCCUGAGGUGAAUCUGUCCCUCAGGAGACAUCUGGCAAUGGCUGGAGACGUUUUGGGUGGUCACAGCUUGGGGGAGGGGUGCAUCUAGCAUCUAGUGAGUGGAGGCUGGGGGGUGCUGCGAGCACAGUGCACUGGCCAGCGUGCCCCCCGACCCCAACAAAGUCUCUCCUGCCCAAAUGUCAACAGUGUUGAUGGUAAGAAACCCUAACCUAAAAUUGCAAUUAAAUAGGAGUUCCCUGCCAGCUUAGGGAUUAAGGACUCAGCCUUGUUACUGCUGUGGCUCAGGUGUGACCCCCAGCCGGAGAACUUCCUCAUACCAGGGGCAGGCCAAAAAUUAAUAAAUAAAUUAAAAUAAAAUCACCAUUAAAUAACUCAUGUUAACAACAAAGGGAAGGAGUUCCCUGGUGGCCUCGGGGUUAGGACUCAGUGCUUCCACGGCUGCAGCCCAAGUUCAAUCCCUGAUCCGGGAACUGAGAUCCCACAUCAAGUGGCCGCAUGCUGAUAGCCAAAACACAAACAAAAACAAACAAGCAAAAAGGAACACAUACUCAAAACUUAUCACUUACUAUUAUUCUACUAAAUUGCACUACAAUGGUGGGGCCUGCUAGGCACUGCUUCCCCAACUUCACGGUCAACGACAUCCUGUUUGGGUGAAAUCCCUGGAAGGAGACUUUACACUACAGACAUUGGCAAAGACUACAAAACCCAUCCCCUUUCUUUCUACACACACACACCAUGUACGCUUCACACCCACACUACAGGUACACCACACACACCUAUACACACCAUACCCAGACUCCACACACACAUACGAAGCACACCCCACAUACACACCUGCAACACACCCCUCACACAUCUCACCUACGACUCCCCAGACACACACCCCACAUAAACACACACGUGCUCCCACAGCAGCCCUCCAGCCAGCAGAGGACGGACUUAAAUCAUGAGAAGAAGAGGAGGUCAGUCUGCCUGACCACUUUCUUUGCUGUCUGACCUCUCUGCCUGUUGGCUCUCCUCAUCCCAAGGCGCAUCCAACCUACACCCCCCCACCUGCCACGACACCUGCGAAGGUGAAGGUCUCAACCCCUCCAGGAGCACAGACCAGGGACCCCCACCCCCACCCCAUCCCAGGCCCUUUCCUCUCGGCCACUGGAGCCCUGGCUGAGGGGUCCCCCAGCCCUGCCCCGUGCCCAGCUCUCCGAAGGCUCCGAGUGAAGUCCAGCUGGCCGUGGCUCCAGGGCCUUGCCUCCAUCCCUGCCCAGGGCCAGUGACAAGCAGUUGCCUUGGUGACUCCACCCACCUGGCCCCUUAUCAGAUGCUGAUAAGCCAAAGCUCCAUCUCCAGCCAGAUCCUCUCUGCACCCCCUCCUCACUAGCCCUGGGACAGCUAUACUCGGAUGUCCCCUGACUCCUCAGACAAGUCCCAAACAGACUUCCUGUCUGCUCAUAACCACUCCUCAGGCCGUGGGAGACCCAGCGUGGGGGGCUGCAGGCGGCAGCAGCCAGGCCAGGGCAGGCCCCGCUGGAUCGGCUCUCCGCAGCCCCGAGUGAGGGGCUGGUUACAAAGAAAAGGAAAAGGCGUUCCUGAUACGCGUCCUGUUUCCUCCCCUCCUCUGGGCUUCUCGGGCCUUGGAAGGCGGAUGUCCCUGGGCUGGCAGUACACGGACAGGCAGAGGGUCAGGGUCUCUGGCGGCCCUUUCCACCCCAGCGGUCUGGCUGCAUAAAGACAGGUGCUCCCAAGUGACCCUUAAAUUCCCCUUUCCAGCCUGGAGGAGCGCGCCCUCUCUCCCCAGAGGGAACUCACACCGGCAGGCACCUCCUUCCAUCAGACUGUCCCAGAAAGGCAUCUCCACUGGGAAACCUCCCGUGUCACCGUCCUUUGCUACAGGAGCCCCUCUAAAGCGCCCCCUUCUGCCUUCUUCCCUGCCCCACAGCAGCUUCGCCCUGCUCGGCUCUCGCUGUGCCGAUUGCCUGCAGACGCGGGCUCUCCAUGAGUCAGGCCAGGAAUGGGGGAGCCAAGGCAAAGGCCAUCAAACGGGGCUCUGAAGGGAGAGAACACGAGGAGCCUCCUCCCUCAGACAGGGCGACAGGGAGCCUUCCUGACGACUGACCGAGGUCUGAUCUCCUCUAUCAGAUAAGAAUUCUCCCCAGGGAAGUGGCCGUGACUCCUCCCUCAGCCUCCAAGCAGACAAAGUCCAUGCCUCCUUCCUCAGACAGGAGCUGCUAGAGGACCAGAGGGCUAGGCCCCCUCCAUCAGAGAGGGAGUCCCAGACAGCAGGAACCUCAUUUCCCCCAUCAGAGCGAAGUCUCUCAGAGUUCCCAUCAUGGCUCAGUGGUUAAUGAAGCCAACUAGUAUCCAUGAGGACACAGGUUCAAUCCCUGGCCUCGCUCAGUGGGUUAAGGAUCCAGCAUUGCUGUGAGCUGUGGUGUAGGUUGCAGUCAGCUCAGAUCUGGUGUGGCUGUGGCUGUGGUGUAGGCCGGCAGCUACAACUCCGAUGCGACCCCUAGCCUGGGAAUCUCCACAUGCUGCGGGUGCGGCCCUAAAAAGACAAAAAAAAAAAAAAAAAAAAAAAAAAGAACACAGUCUCUCUCCCGGAGGACAGGACCUGGCCUCUCCAUCAGACUAGGAACUCCCAGAGGGCACAGUCCCUGUCUGCUGCCUCCUCAGCAGUUCCCAAAAAAGACUUGAGCUCAGUCUAAGACGCAGAGCGGGACAGAACUGGGAUGGGGGGGCUUGCCCACAUCCUUCCUCACACGGGGUCCCAUGCCAACUUCCCAUCCAUGCUCGCAACUGAACGGAAGCUGCCUUAAGACAGCCAUGCGUCUGGGCAGAGGCCAGCAGCUGUCUAUUUCAACCAGCAAUGCUGACUUCUCGCGAGAUAGUGGUAGGAGAUCCCUGACAAGAAGAUACCUAGGACAGGCUGGGCACCCAGCUCUGGCCUGCAAGUGACCAGAUGAGUGGGCUGGCCAGAUGUGGGGGCUCUUGAUUCUGCCACUAAAGGGGCAAACCUCCUCCCCCCGUGGCCGGGAACACCCCCUGCCCACUUCCAAACUUCCUCAGCACUUUAGCUGCUGGCUAAAGCGGCAGGAGGCUUCAGGGAGAAGCCUUCCUGGGUCCUGCCUUGAGGACAGCACUGGCCUUCCCCGGUGCCGUCCCUGAGCCCGGGCCAAGUCGCCUCCACGAUGGUCUUCCCUACAGGAGCCAGCUCCAGGGAGCUGCUAUUAGUUAGCAUCGAUCCACAAAGUGCUCUGCCGACACUUUUCAUGAGCUCAGCCUCACCCAGGGCCCUGGGGGCUGCGAGCAAGAAAGAGACAGCCGCUGAGCCGGGAGCCCAGGUCCCUGGGCAGAGCCAGGGAGCAGCUGAGCCCCACAACCAAGGCCCAGACGAGCUGAAGGCCAGCACUCUGCAAAUGUCAGCUGAACACGGGGUGUUCACUGAAAAGCCACCUGGCUGCAUCUGAGAACUAAAUUUGGGUGUAUUUUCUUAUUAAGAAAUCACAAUAGGCGUUCCCGUCUUGGCACAGUGGUUAACGAAUCCGACUAGGAACCAUGAGGUUGCGGGUUCGAUCCCUGGCCUCGCUCAGUGGGUUAAGGAUCCGGCGUUGCUGUGAGCUGUGGUGUAAGUGGCAGACGCGGCUCGGAUCCCGAGUUGCUGUGGCUCUGGUGUAGGCCGGCAGCUACAGCUUCGAUUCCACGCCUAGCCUGGGAAUCUCCAUAUGCUGCAAAGGCAGCCCUAGAAAAGGCAAAAAGACAAAAAAAGAAAGAAAUCGCAAUAAUGAUGAUGAUGAUUAUAACUGAUGUUUGUUAAGAGUUUAAUACAAGGCAGGCACUCUUCUAAACACUUGUAUUCGACUCAUCUACUCUGCACAAGAACCCGGAGAGAAAUAUCCUCGUGAUCCCUACUCUCGAUAGGGAGAAACACAGAGAAGAAACUUGCCCACAGUCGCAGAGCAAAAAUAAGAAACGUCAGCAGCUCAAACCAUCUGCUUGAGAAAUCAGGAAGUGAAAAUCGACUAACAGCGCUUCUGGAUCUGAAAAGAAUUAGAGACUUUUGAAAGAUACGGUUUAUCCUAAGCGGGUUCCGAGCCAAAUACUCGCCGUAUUGAACACCGUGUGGUACAGCUCAGAUAGAAGAGGUUCUCUGAAAGAGCAGUAUUACGAACGGAAAGCAUGUGCUUAUCAGCCGUCUCAAAAUCAUAGCUAUCCUUCAUCUGAAAUUUCUGAGUGAUUUUAUUAAAGCAAGAGAAAGCAAACUCAAAAACCCACAAUUAUUUUAAGAUUUAUCUUAUGUGGAGUUCCCACUGUGGCACAGUGGAAACGAAUCCGACUAGGAACCAUAAGGUUACAGUUUGAUCCCUGGCCUUGCUCAGUGGGUUAAGGAUCAGGCGUUGCCGUGAGCUGAGGUGUAGGCCGGCAGCUGUAGCUCUGAUUCGACCCCUAGCCUGAGAACUUCCAUAUGCCACGGGUGUGGCCCUAAAAAAAGAAAAAAAAAAAAUAAUAAUAAUAAUUUAUUUGUCACAUGUGUUAUUCCCUGGAAGAGGGACUUUACUGAGCCUCCAGGCUGAGGGCACCUCUCUCCUUGGCAGGCAGGAUGCAGUGGGUGUUUGCUCGCCCGGAUGGGAGACACUGUGGGGCAGGGCCUGCGCUUGGCUCAGACACCGUGCGCCAUGAGGGAGCCAAGGGCUUGGGCUCAGGCAGCCCUGCUGCUUCCUGAGCCUGAGCUUCAGCUGUCCAGGGUGUAAAGCAAGGCCCCGGAUCCCAGCUAGAGCUCUGUGAGUGGUGAAAACACUACCGCCACUACCGCGGCCACCAUCCCCACAAUAAACAGACCGGCUGGGUGGCCCCGAGCUGGCCCCCGAUAGACAGGGUUCAGCGGGUUCUCUGGCUCUCCGUGCGGGUCAGGUUACCUUGCACGGGCCCGGGCAGCUGAGAGGAGAUAAUGCGUGUGAGGCGUUCCUGGGAGGCCAGAGAGCUGGGCAGAGACGAAGGCCUGCUCUUAGGACAAGGCUGAAUUAUCGAGCCUUUUUAAGAAAUGCGUUUCCAUUACUUCCAAGAACACACAGGCUUGCGGAAGCAGUGGGCACACUGAAGCCAGCCAAGAGCCGCUGCUGUCAGUGAGGUAGCAAGCAGGGCAGCGCCUUCCCCGGGCACCUACACCCCGGGGCCACAGCAGCAUAGCCGGAUUGCUAGCCCAUCUCCAGCCUGCUCCUCACACAGCCUUGGGGGGCAGGGGAGGCGGGGAGGGCCUGAGCCACUAGCCCUCUGGAGUCACAACUGGGAACCAGCUCCACCUGCCCCCAGCCAGAGGCUCAGGCCAUCUGUCCCCCAAUCCCCGGGAGGCCCCACAAAUGGUGAAAGAAGUAGGGCCGAGCCAUGGGAACAGGGUCCAGAUCUCUACCCUGGCACUUCAUGGCUCCUCACUGCACCCGUCCUCAUCUGGAUAAUGGGGUCCCAUGACCACCUCCAGGGUGUGGAGGGGAACGAAUGUCCUGGACCACAGUCCCAGUUCAAUAUACGGUAGGACUAGGGCACUGAGCGACACCUGCAGUGCCAGGAUGAACAAGGCUGUUCAGAACCCUGGAGAGAUGGAGAUGGGGGAGGGGACAAGUAACCACAGGCAAGAACACACAGCAAGGGGGUGGACGCGCCUUUGACCAUCACGCUGCAUCUUCCAACAUUUAUUUGGUCCUCUCUGUGUAUCUAGUGGGCCCGAGGCACUGGGUCACGGGCCUCCUGGGGGGUCCCUGCAGUGUGGUGCAUGAGCUUAUGGG
RNAcentral lists this long non-coding RNA (6154 nucleotides) under Sus scrofa (pig). RNAcentral describes it as "lncRNA (ENSSSCG00040064847.1)". Lineage: Eukaryota; Metazoa; Chordata; Mammalia; Artiodactyla; Suidae. The record is from RNAcentral.